Molecule: ribosomal RNA, 704 nt
Filed under: uncultured bacterium
Lineage: Bacteria
Description: bacterial SSU rRNA
Rfam family: Bacterial small subunit ribosomal RNA
Source: RNAcentral
GAUGAACGCUAGCGGCAGGCCUAACACAUGCAAGUCGAGGGGUAUAGUAGCAAUACUAGAGACCGGCGCACGGGUGCGUAACGCGUAUGCAAUCUACCUUUUACAGGGGAAUAGCCCAGAGAAAUUUGGAUUAAUGCCCCAUAGUAUAUAAGAAUCGCAUGGUUUUUAUAUUAAAGUUCCAACGGUAAAAGAUGAGCAUGCGUCCCAUUAGUUAGUUGGUAAGGUAACGGCUUACCAAGACUAUGAUGGGUAGGGGUCCUGAGAGGGAGAUCCCCCACACUGGUACUGAGACACGGACCAGACUCCUACGGGAGGCAGCAGUGAGGAAUAUUGGACAAUGGGCGCAAGCCUGAUCCAGCCAUGCCGCGUGCAGGAAGACGCAUCUAUGGUGUGUAAACUGCUUUUGUACAGGAAGAAACACUCCCUCGUGAGGGAGCUUGACGGUACUGUAAGAAUAAGGAUCGGCUAACUCCGUGCCAGCAGCCGCGGUAAUACGGAGGAUCCAAGCGUUAUCCGGAAUCAUUGGGUUUAAAGGGUCCGUAGGCGGUUUAAUAAGUCAGUGGUGAAAGCCCAUCGCUCAACGAUGGAACGGCCAUUGAUACUGUUAGACUUGAAUUAUUAGGAAGUAACUAGAAUAUGUAGUGUAGCGGUGAAAUGCUUAGAUAUUACAUGGAAUACCAAUUGCGAAGGCAGGUUACUACUAA